UACAGAGGUCUCAAGCGUUGUUCGGAUUCAUUGGGCGUAAAGGGUGUGUAGGUGGCGCCGUAAGUCGGGUGUGAAAUUUCGGAGCUUAACUCCGAAACUGCAUUCGAUACUGCGGUGCUUGAGGACUGGAGAGGAGACUGGAAUUCAUGGUGUAGCAGUGAAAUGCGCAGAUAUCAGGAGGAACACCGGUGGCGAAGGCGGGUCUCUGGCCCGUAACUGACGCUCAUGCACGACAGCGUGGGGAUCAAACAGG
RNAcentral lists this ribosomal RNA (253 nucleotides) under uncultured bacterium. RNAcentral describes it as "partial 16S ribosomal RNA". It matches the Rfam family "Bacterial small subunit ribosomal RNA", at positions 524 to 776 of the family's 1533-position model. The record is from RNAcentral.